This 533-nucleotide ribosomal RNA is filed under the name Bacillus cereus. RNAcentral describes it as "partial 23S ribosomal RNA". It matches the Rfam family "Bacterial large subunit ribosomal RNA", at positions 518 to 1052 of the family's 2925-position model. Lineage: Bacteria; Bacillati; Bacillota; Bacilli; Caryophanales; Bacillaceae. The record is from RNAcentral.
AAAGCACCCCGGAAGGGGAGUGAAAGAGAUCCUGAAACCGUGUGCCUACAAAUAGUCAGAGCCCGUUAACGGGUGAUGGCGUGCCUUUUGUAGAAUGAACCGGCGAGUUACGAUCCCGUGCGAGGUUAAGCUGAAGAGGCGGAGCCGCAGCGAAAGCGAGUCUGAAUAGGGCGUUUAGUACGUGGUCGUAGACCCGAAACCAGGUGAUCUACCCAUGUCCAGGGUGAAGUUCAGGUAACACUGAAUGGAGGCCCGAACCCACGCACGUUGAAAAGUGCGGGGAUGAGGUGUGGGUAGCGGAGAAAUUCCAAUCGAACCUGGAGAUAGCUGGUUCUCCCCGAAAUAGCUUUAGGGCUAGCCUUAAGUGUAAGAGUCUUGGAGGUAGAGCACUGAUUGGACUAGGGGUCCUCAUCGGAUUACCGAAUUCAGUCAAACUCCGAAUGCCAAUGACUUAUCCUUAGGAGUCAGACUGCGAGUGAUAAGAUCCGUAGUCAAAAGGGAAACAGCCCAGACCGCCAGCUAAGGUCCCAAAG